Molecule: long non-coding RNA, 1356 nt
Organism: Amphiprion ocellaris (clown anemonefish)
Lineage: Eukaryota; Metazoa; Chordata; Actinopteri; Pomacentridae
Source: Ensembl
AUGUUAGGCAAUACUGACUGUAUUUCACAAUUCAGCAUUAUUUUCCGUGGUUUGGGAGAAAAGUCGAAUAAACGUGACAAAUAACAGUUUAUCAGAGAAGCAUUUCUCCAAAUAUAGGGACGAACAGAGGACAGCACGUUUCCUCACCCAUUCUGUCUCUAGCUUGCAUCUGCAGGUUUUUCUGUUUAACUUCAACUUAUGCAGACACAUUGAAAAUGUGUAUUGACAUGUUAAAGUUAUUGUUGACCUUACGCUUAAUUCUGUUCAAUGAGCAAGGCUGCUCUUUCAGCUACUCUACAAAAUGAUACCAAUUAUUUAACAUUUUUAUUUACUGUACAUGUGUUUGCACUGUGUCAUUCCUCUGUGCUUUUACGGAAGUUCGGUUACAACACUACAUUUGAAGUCUUCCUAUUAAGCAUUUAUAAGCAGUGCAUAAAAAUUAAUACAUGGUUUGUAACACACUAAUGUAGAUCUAAGCAAAUAGGCAUUUUUUUCAUUUGUCAACUACAAUUCCUUUUGUGGAUACCAAUAAGUGGAGGCUGCAGUAUAAACAGAUAAAGAAUGAUGAUAGAAUAAAACACAGCUUUAAUAAUAAACUUAUGUUUAUAGGUGAAGUUGUCAUUGCUGAUGUACUGUACAACAAUAAGCACUUCAAAUGUCCUUAUAGCUGCCGACAACUGCAUUAUAGUGUGUUACAAAUGUUCCUAACUAACUCAUUUGUUCUGCUGGUAAUUCGUGUUAUUAUUAGUAAGGAAAAUGACUCAUGUUAUGAAAAUAAGACCCAAGUGUGAAAAAAAUAUCCUUAAUAAUGAUGGAGAAAUGUUUUAUGUUGUCCAUCUCCUUGUUAAUGCUGCAUUAUCUUAAUGUAAUUAAAUGAAAGCAGGGAUGCCUCCUCCUGCCGGUCUCCUGUUGAUUUGUCCCCUUUCAGAAUGCAGCCAGUAUUUAUGAGGAGGAUCACCCUGCCCAAAUGUAUCCUGCACUCUCGCUACCCAUCCUUUGAUCAGCCGUCAGACUGGAUUGUGCUGAUGAGGCAACCCUGCAGCUCCACUUAGAUUUAGAGAGGUGAACAGUAUUACUGCUUACCGCUUGGUGUGUGUCAUAGAAGAAUAUGAAUCACAAUUUCAUGGGCCCCCUGCUCCUUGCCUUGCUUUACACCAUGUGAAGAAGUGCAGAGGUGACUACCCCUUGGUCCAUGUUUAAAUCAACACUUUUACUCUGGUUUUCUUUCUGUCUGUGCUUCCUGUUCUGUAUGCAAUGUGUGGCAUUUUGUGUUCUAAAUGUAUACUAAGCAAUAUGAGCAGUCUGACAGAACAGUCAGUGGCUGUGUUUUGCACUGUGUCGGCCACUAAAUUAAAC